Molecule: ribosomal RNA, 465 nt
Filed under: uncultured bacterium
Lineage: Bacteria
Description: partial 16S ribosomal RNA
Rfam family: Bacterial small subunit ribosomal RNA
Source: RNAcentral
CCUACGGGAGGCAGCAGUAGGGAAUCUUCCACAAUGGGCGAAAGCCUGAUGGAGCAACGCCGCGUGGGUGAAGAAGGUCUUCGGAUCGUAAAACUCUGUUGUUAGAGAAGAAAGUGCGUGAGAGUAACUGUUCACGUUUCGACGGUAUCUAACCAGAAAGCCACGGCUAACUACGUGCCAGCAGCCGCGGUAAUACGUAGGUGGCAAGCGUUAUCCGGAUUUAUUGGGCGUAAAGGGAACGCAGGCGGUCUUUUAAGUCUGAUGUGAAAGCCUUCGGCUUAACCGGAGUAGUGCAUUGGAAACUGGGAGACUUGAGUGCAGAAGAGGAGAGUGGAACGCCAUGUGUAGCGGUGAAAUGCGUAGAUAUAUGGAAGAACACCAGUGGCGAAAGCGGCUCUCUGGUCUGUAACUGACGCUGAGGUUCGAAAGCGUGGGUAGCAAACAGGAUUAGAUACCCCAGUAGUC